GCAAGUCUGGUGCCAGCAGCCGCGGUAAUUCCAGCUCCAAUAGCGUAUAUUAAAGUUGUCGCAGUUAAAAAGCUCGUAGUUGAACCUCGGGAUCAAUGGAUCGGUCAUGCCAUCGGUAUGUACUGGUCUCAUUGGUUCUCACCUUCUAAGGAACCAUGAUGUCAUUCAGUUGAUGUUGUGGGGAAUUAGGACUGUUACCUUGAAAAAAUUAGAGUGUUUAAAGCAGGCUAACGCUUGAAUACAUUAGCAUGGAAUAAUGAAAUAGGACAUCGCAUUCUAUUUUGUUGGUUUCUAGGAUCGAUGUAAUGAUUAAUAGGGAUAGUUGGGGGCAUUAGUAUUCAAUUGUCAGAGGUGAAAUUCUUGGAUUUAUUGAAGACUAACUACUGCGAAAGCAUUUGCCAGGGAUGUUUUCAUUAAUCAAGAACGAAAGUUAGGGGAUCGAAGACGAUCAGAUACCGUCGUAGCCUUAACCAUAAACUAUGCCGACUAGGGAUCGGAUGAUGUUGAUUUUUUAAUGACUCAUUCGGCGCCUACGGGAAAC
Molecule: ribosomal RNA, 541 nt
Filed under: uncultured Glomeromycotina
Lineage: Eukaryota; Fungi; Glomeromycota
Description: SSU rRNA
Rfam family: Eukaryotic small subunit ribosomal RNA
Source: RNAcentral